Molecule: long non-coding RNA, 565 nt
Organism: Engraulis encrasicolus (European anchovy)
Lineage: Eukaryota; Metazoa; Chordata; Actinopteri; Clupeiformes; Engraulidae
Exons: 4
Source: RefSeq, a predicted model, not a curated record
UAUUGAUCACAGAGCGAAUGGAGAACCUGGACGUAAUUCUGUUGAUGCCUGCCUGUGUGACUGGCGGGGAUGUAGGCAAAGAACGUGGAUCUAUGUAAGGAGGGCUUUGAUCAAGAGACCAUGUGCCAAAAAUCAACUGGAAAAGACGUCCGAGACCGGAGGCGAGGAAUUGGAUGGUCAGAAACCAGGCUGUUGGUGCUGCUGAGGCUGUUGGUUUUCCUGCUUCACUGGUGGAGGAAGUGCAGAGCAAAUUGUGCAGCGGUGGACUUCACUACUUGGAGAACAUGAAUGGAAAGAACACGGGGAUCAUCUAAGCCUGGAUGACUAACUGAAGAGGAAUUGGAUUCAACCCCAGUCCCAGCGUCUACAGGCAAUCAUGGAGGAUAAAUGACUUCUGAAAGUUCUGCAGCAGUUGACUCAGUUCAAACAUACCGUUUCAAUACUGGCAUGUCUUUACAGGGGGCUCUGGAGGAAAAGAAGAGAGGAGAAACACGCAUCUGAUGACCAACCACAUUUUACAGCUCCAGAACAUUUCCUCUAAGCCAAACCUCCUCAAAAGGUCUCU